AUGACCCAGUCUCCACUCAGUCUGUCCAUGCUGGGACAGACAGCAACCCUCACCUGCAAAUCAAGUCAGAGCCUUGUACAUAGUGAUGGAAAGACCUAUUUGAACUGGAUCCAGCAGAAGCCAGUCCGAGCUCCACGUUCCCUGAUCUAUCAAGUUUCUAACUGGUACCCUGGGGUCCCAGCCAGGUACAUUGGCAGUGGGGCAGUUACAGAUUUCACUCUUAAAAUCAGUAGAGUGGAGGCUGAGGACAUUGCCGUUUAUUACUGCAUGCAAGAGAAGCGCCAGCCCUAUUCUCACGUCAGAAACCUUCAGAGUCCCAGGAGUCUGCUGGGAGGCGUUGCAUCCUAG
This is a non-coding RNA of Chrysochloris asiatica (Cape golden mole), 348 nucleotides long. NCBI's taxonomy places the organism in Eukaryota, Metazoa, Chordata, Mammalia, Afrosoricida, Chrysochloridae. The record is from the annotation of a RefSeq genome assembly.